UGAGGAAUAUUGGUCAAUGGCCGGAAGGCUGAACCAGCCAAGCCGCGUGGAGGAAGAAGGCGCAGAGCGUCGCAGACUCCUUUUGUCGGGGGACAAACGGCCGCACGCGUGCGGCUCUGAGGGUACCCGAAGAAAAAGCAUCGGCUAACUCCGUGCCAGCAGCCGCGGUAAUACGGAGGAUGCGAGCGUUAUCCGGAUUCAUUGGGUUUAAAGGGUGCGUAGGCGGCGUCUUAAGCCGGCGGUGAAAUCGCGGGGCUCAACCCGCGAGCCGUCGGAACUGGGAUGCUCGAGUGUCGGCGAGGCAUGCGGAAUGCGCGGUGUAGCGGUGAAAUGCAUAGAUAUCGCGCAGAACCCCUGAUUGCGAAGGCAGCGUGCCAGCCGCCCACUGACGCUGAGGCACGAAAGCGCGGGUAUCGAACAGGAUUAGAUACC
This 432-nucleotide ribosomal RNA is filed under the name uncultured bacterium. RNAcentral describes it as "bacterial SSU rRNA". It matches the Rfam family "Bacterial small subunit ribosomal RNA", at positions 355 to 786 of the family's 1533-position model. The record is from RNAcentral.